GAAUGUCAUGACCAAUACAAGUAACUAUACCCGGUAAAGCGUGGGUCAUUCUCACUUACCCACCACCCUAAAGUUAUGAUAAGGGAUUAAAGAGGAUUAGUGUACACGGGUUAGUGAUUACACUGCUCACCG
Molecule: long non-coding RNA, 132 nt
Organism: Haliotis rubra (blacklip abalone)
Lineage: Eukaryota; Metazoa; Mollusca; Gastropoda; Lepetellida; Haliotidae
Exons: 5
Source: RefSeq, a predicted model, not a curated record